RNAcentral lists this long non-coding RNA (938 nucleotides) under Olea europaea subsp. europaea. Lineage: Eukaryota; Viridiplantae; Streptophyta; Magnoliopsida; Lamiales; Oleaceae. The record is from RNAcentral.
GAAAAAAGUUGGAGCAUAAAUGCAAAAAUAAACAUGGAAUAGAGCCUUUUAGUGCAAUUAAAGAUGUAUUGUAAUUAACAGAUAGUGGAUGUAACUAUGGGAUAAUUGCAACAGAAGUCUCAAAUCUUUUAAACACUUGCAGACUUUCCUCUAACUUUUUAAUCGUUACAGUCGUCACACCUAGCCUUUCAAACUGUAGCAUCAGAGGUCCCAAUGGAUGGAAAACAUCCAAUUUACCGUUACUUGACCAAAAAAGUGAGUUUGACCACAUUUUAAUUAUUUUUAUAGAGGGAAAAGUAGUAUUUUUCUACUUACCAAAAUGAACAACUAAUGUAUUUCAACGGAAAAAAGAAAAAGAAAAAAGCAUCUUCUUCCUCACACUUCCAAUUCCUAAAAAUCAACCACUACCUCAGGCCAAUGACCACUAACCACUGACACCCUCCUUUGCCUCCUGAACUAGUGCACAAAUAAACCCCAUCCUAGUCAAUGCACACAUACACUGAUUUCGCAUCUAUCGUUACUAUAGAAACUGAACCACACUUUCUCCUUGUCGUUGAUCUCGCCCUGCAAUAGCUAUAUUGCAGCUACUUAGAGCAAAAAAUAAAAAACUCAUAGCUAUAUUUGUCGAAAAUUCAACGCGAUAUCCAUAUUUAGCAAUUUGUUCAAUUGUUUGUAUGAUAACCGUGGUUGAGUCGAAUUUUUACGUAAUAUCUUACUUGGAAAAUGCUUGGUUUAUCUCCUCAAACAGUCCCUUGUUCUGAGAAAGCCCGAGAUUUGUGCGACCCUUUCUACCCCAUCUAGCUCUGUUUCGCUUGAGAGGGCAUUUGGGACCCUUUUUGUCCACCUGCAUCUUGUUUUACACCACAUCUUGCCUUUGUUCGAUGAACUAGAAAUGGCAAAAAAAAAUUUGAUUCAGAUUAUAUCUUUUCAUGAUUUUC